Molecule: ribosomal RNA, 253 nt
Filed under: uncultured bacterium
Lineage: Bacteria
Description: partial 16S ribosomal RNA
Rfam family: Bacterial small subunit ribosomal RNA
Source: RNAcentral
UACGGAGGGUGCGAGCGUUAAUCGGAAUUACUGGGCGUAAAGGGUGCGUAGGUUGUUGAUUAAGUUAUCUGUAAAAUCCCCGGGCUUAACCUGGGAGUGCCAGAUGAUACUGAUUGACUCGAGUAUGGGAGAGGGUAGUGGAAUUUCCGGUGUAGCGGUGAAAUGCGUAGAGAUCGGAAGGAACACCAGUGGCGAAGGCGACUUCCUGGACCAAUACUGACGCUCAGGUGCGAAAGCGUGGGGAGCAAACAGG